Long non-coding RNA from Chenopodium quinoa (quinoa), 1592 nucleotides. RefSeq lists it as uncharacterized. The record is from RefSeq and is a predicted model, not a curated record. The transcript has 2 exons. NCBI's taxonomy places the organism in Eukaryota, Viridiplantae, Streptophyta, Magnoliopsida, Caryophyllales, Amaranthaceae.
AGGGAGUACUAUAUAUGUCUAUCCUCCGAUUGUUUAAGUUAGUUACACUUUUUUGGUUUUCAUCUAUAACUAAUGUGUACCUCGAGUGAUGUCCCAGGUUGUUAGUUUGAGUACUUCUUACUUAAAUUAACAAUUAUGUUCGACUAUUUGUAUAUUUAGUGUGUGUAGUGAUUCAAGCAUAGCCUUGGAUGUCACUUUUUUUUUUUUUUUUUUUUGACAUCAUAUAUAUUUAUAUUCUAAUAUUGUGAAUAAAUUAUAUUACCUCUAUUUUACUUAAUAUAUGAAGAAAUAUAAUAAAUGAAUUAUAUUACCUCUAUUUUACUUAAUAAAUGAAGAAAUAUAUAGUAUUAUGUGAAACUAGAAACAUUAAUACUCCCUCCCUUUCUUUUUACUCGCAACAAUUACUAAAAAUAGUCGGUAUACAUUACUUGCAACAAACUUAUUUCUUUCCUUUUAUGGUAAGUUUUUUUGUGUGAUUUUAUAACAUUACCCUUACUUUUUUUUUCUAAACACCCUAAUUAAACUACUAAUUUUAACUUAAUAACUUAAACCCUAACAUUAACUAACUUAAUUAUUUUCCCCAAAAUCAUUACUCUCCCAUCUAAAUUCAUUCUCAUCUUCUGUCAAAAAAAAGAAUUCAUUCUCAUCUUGAUUGGGAACCACCACCACCACCACCACCAGUCCACCACCAAUCUCCAUUCUAUGUUCAUCACCUAGAAAUUCACCUCAGUACACCACCGUCGCCGAAAGUUGUUGCCGAUGUCCCUUUUGUUGUGGCCGCCUCCGUUUUCUCUCUCUUCCUCUUCUUGUUGUUUUGUCAUUGCAAUGAAGCACAUAUGUGAAGGUUUUAUGGUUAAAUUUUACCAUGAAAUUUCUAGAUUUGGAGUUUUGAUGGUUAAAUUUGACCAAUUAAAGCUUUAAUUGAUGAUAGAGUUGUGGGUUUCGGAUUUAAUUUGGGGUUAUGGGUUUGGUUCGAGUUCGUGGGUUUUGGGUUUCGGGGUUGUGGGUGGUGGGUUUCGGGGUUUCGGGGUUGUGGGUGGUGGAUCUGGGUUCGUGGGUUGUGGGUGGUGGUUCUGGGUUCUUUGGUUGUUUGGUUGGUGGUUCGAAUUUUCUGGGUUUGUGGGUUGGUUUGGUUGGUGGUUCGAAUUUUCUAGGUUCGUGGGUUGGUGGUUCGAAUUUUGGGUUCGAUUCUGGGUGGUUCGUGUGGUGGGCGGUUUGAUUGCGGGUGGUUCAUGUGGUGGGUCGUUCAGUUAUGGUGUUGCUGGAUGGGGGUACAGUGCUGGGUGGUGGUGCGGCCAUGUGGUGGUGGUGGUAUUGUGGUGCUGCGGCCAGGUGGUGUUGGUGGCAUCGUGGUGUUGGGAGGUGGUUUUUAUUUUGGUUUAAUUAUUUUUUAUUUUUUUAUUGGGUUGGAUUAAUACUAAGUACAUCCACUUAUUUUUUAAUAAUCUCACUUAAGAUAUUUUGUCUAGGAGUCCGCAAACUCCCUCUUUGUUGCGAGUAAAAAGAACGGAGGGAGUAAUAGUUGGUUGAGAUGGUAAAUGUAUUACCUAUAUGUAUUGGAGGUUAUAAGUUCAAAUCUUGUUCGAAUCAUA